GGCCAUCCAGAUGUAUACGUGUAGGUCACA
This 30-nucleotide non-coding RNA is filed under the name Homo sapiens (human). Lineage: Eukaryota; Metazoa; Chordata; Mammalia; Primates; Hominidae. The record is from RNAcentral.